AUGGAGGCGACGGGGGUGAGCUUAGGGAAGGCCGCACUAGGCGGCGCCUUGAGCUACGCCAGUUCCAAGGUGGCCGAGGAGGUCGCCCUGCAGCUCGGCGUCGAGCGUGAUGUGAACUUCAUCAGGGACGAGCUGCAGAUGAUGCAGUCGUUCCUGAUGACGGCUGAUGAGGAGCAAAGCCAGAACAAGGUGCUCACCACUUGGGUGCGACAGAUCGGAGUCCUCGCGUACAAAGUGGAGGACAGCCUCAUGGAUUUCGGCCUCCACUCAGAGAAAAAGCCAUUUUUGGGGUGCAUUCCCCGUGACCCAGGUGAUCGACGCCGCAUCGCCAAGGAGGUGAAAGAGCUGAGGGCCAAGGUAGAGGACGUGAGCGACAGGAACUUGCGGUACCGCCUCAUCAAGGAGAGAUCACGCUCCAAGCUUACCGCAGCAGAGGAGCAGGCCCGCAUUGCUGCUACGGCAAUGUUUGGCAUCAAGGAAGCGAAGUUUGACAUCGAUAAAGUGAGGAUUGCCACCUUCGAACAGGAAAGAUCAUCAGAGGUGGACCUUUGCAAACUGAUUACCAGCAACGCUGUAGACCUUAGGGUGAUCUCCGUGUGGGGAACUAGCGGUGAUGUCGGGAAGACGUCCUCCAUCAAGGAGGUUUAUGAUGACCCAGAGGUAUUGAAGAGGUUUGGAUUCUUUGCUUGGAUUAGAUUGAUGCAUCCUUUCAAUCCACAAGAGUUCCUCUGGAGCAUGGUAAGGCAAUUUUAUGAAAAUUCCCGCGAUGAGGUUGGAAAGGCAGAACAAGAAACAAGUGUCGGGGCUAAUGUUCUUUCCAAGAUGGAGAAAAUGGAUCAGAGUGAUUUAAUCCGUGUGUUUAAUGCACAGUUGUGUAGCAAUAGCUACCUGGUUGUCAUAAAUGAUCUGUCCACAAUAGAAGAGUGGCAUUGCAUUAAGAAGUACUUUCCUGACAAUAAGAAACAAAGUAGAAUCAUCGUUUCCACACAGCAAGUUGAAAUUGCAAGCUUGUGCCCGGAGAAACCGUACCAAGUUUCUGAGUUAAAGCAGUUCUCAUCUGAUCAAACUAUUUUUUUGUUCCACAAGAAGGAUUCAGAGGAGCAGGCCGGCAUGGGCAGUUUGAGUGUGGUAAUGUUUGAGAUCAAUGAAGAAGCAAUGGAUGCUGAUGCGGAAAUGGAAAAACUGAAGGCUAUGCAUGAGUCAUGUUCUGCUGAGCCCAUUUCGGACUCAAACAACGCUACUACUACUGAGAAAAACAUGGCAAUGCUCCCCGGUGAAAUACAUGAGGAAGACGAAGAACCUAAGAAUGCAGGUGAAGAAAAAGUUCAUAACUCAACUGCUAGAAAGAAGGCUAAUCGCGACAGGACGCUAGCACUAGCUGAUGAAGUGCUCUGUGGGCGAGAAAAAGAGACAUUUGAUAUUAUCAAAUUAGUUGGCCAACCAGACAACAAUCAAGGCUGUAAGGUGAUCUCAGUUUGGGGAACUGACGGUACUGGAAAAACCACUUUUGUCCGACACAUCUACCAAAGCCCGCAGCUUGGUGGAUGGAAGCGUGCCUGGGUCACUGCAUCACGUCCUUUUAACCAUGAAGUACUCCUUAGAACUUUGGCUUUGCAGCUUCUGUAUACUAUUCAAGAAGAUCCUGCCGAAUCAACUAGAGAGCAACAGAAAAGCAUAUCUGUGAUGAAACUUAAAGAGCUGAAGGAGGAGCUGGCUCGGUUACUGAAAUUGCAAAGGUGUCUUAUUGUUCUUGAUGAUAUAUCAUCCGCUCUUGAAUGGGAUGUUAUCAAAUCGUGUUUGGAUAAUGCUGGAAGGAUCAUCGUCACCACAAGAGAAGAAAAUAUUGCUAGACAUUGUUCAAGAGUAUACAAGAACAUCUACAGUCUUGAUGGUCUGAAAGAUGAUGCGGCACUCGACCUCUUCAUAAAGAAGGUAUUCAAAUACAACAUUGAAAAUAAUAAGUUGGGCCCAGUUAUGAGGGAGGAAGCAAGAGCUACCCUGCAGAAAUGCGCUGGACUUCCCCUUGCAAUAUCAACUGUCGGUGAAUUCCUAGCCACUAAGAGAAAAACUGAUGUUGAAUGGAGAAUGAUGAAUGAUUGUAUUAACACUGAAUUGGAUAUGAAUCCUGAACUUAGGACAACAGUUCUUAUGAGGAGAACAAUAAAGACAACUCUUAUGAGGAACUUCAAUAGUUUGCCAUACCAUCUCAAGUUUGCUUUCUUAUACUUGUCCAUCUUUCCAGAAAAUCACAGAAUUAGGUGGGGUCGCUUGGUGAGGCGGUGGAUUGCAGAGGGAUACUCCAGGGAUAUGCAUGGCAUGGCUGCAGCUGAACUUUGUCAGACAUACUUUGAUGAGCUCCUGAAUAGGAAUAUGAUCCUGCCAAAGGAAGGGGUAGACCAUUACAGUCAGAAAAUCAAGUAUUGCCAACUUCAUGAUAUCAUUGGUGAAAUAUUCAUCUCAAAGGCUAGGGAGGAAAACCUUGUUUUCACACUGGAGGAAGGAUGCUGUUUGAGCGACACAGAAGGUGCAAUACGUCAUCUUGUCAUAGGCUACAACUGGAAAAGGGAUGAAAGUGUGUUGCCAAGCAUGCUAGACUUGUCACAUGUACGGUCAUUGACCGUGUUCGGAGAGUGGAGACCCUUUUUCAUAUCCGAUAAUAUGAGGUUCCUCCGGGUGCUCGACUUGGAAGACACAUCAGGGUUAAGAGAUCAUCAUCUUGAUCAAAUUGGGCAGCUUCGUCACCUCAAGUACCUUUCUCUACGAGGAUGUCACAACAUUUUAUGCCUGCCUAGUUCCUUGUGCAAUUUGAGGAACCUCGAAACACUGGAUGUUAGAGGUACACGUAUUUAUGAGUUGCCAACAACAAUCACCAAUCUUCAGAAGCUCCAACACCUCCGUGCAGAUGGUUAUCAGAACAGUGAUAAUGUCAAGGGAGAGGAUGACAUAGUUAACAAGUAUGAAGGUUACACCGAUCGUUUCUCUGCAUGUCAAACAUGUCAUCUUUUCUUGAGACCACACAUGUUAGAUGCUGGUUUGAACAGGCAUGACAUUUUCAAUAUAUGCCGCUUCAAGAAGGUAGACGUAGGUGGUGUUGUACUUCCUAGAGGGAUUGAUAAAUUGAAGGCCCUUCACGCACUAGGUGUUGUCGAUGUUUCUCAUAGAAAUGGAAAGGCAACUCUAAAAGAGCUUGGAAAGCUUAGUCAACUGCGUAAGCUCAAAGUUGCUGGCAUGAGGUACAGAAACAGCACUGAGUUAUGGUCUGCCAUUGCUGGUCACAAUCAACUUCUAUCUUUGUCAGUUGAAGCAGAGGAAGAGGGCUGUCAGUUAGAUGGUUGUUUCAGUGAGGGUUUGGUGCCACCGAGCAGCCUGGAGAGCCUCACUCUCGUUGGUCAUCUAGUCAGUGCAACAGAAUGGACCCAUAAGCUUCAGAAUCUCUCCAAGUUGGUGCUAGAGAGCAGCAGAUUGGAUCGAGAUGAUGACAUACAAACCAUCGGGUUUCUACCAAAACUUGCAGUUCUACGCCUGAAAUAUAAUUCGUUUAUUGGGACACAGCUCUGUUUCGAGAGAUCAUAUUUCCCGAGUCUUAUGGUUCUGGAGUUCGAUGGAUUAAACAGCCUGGAGUGGAUGCUGUUUGAAGAAGGCGUAAUGCCUAAGCUCGAGCUGCUACAAGUUGGUGGGUGCUCAAAGCUGAAUGCAUUCUCCGGGCUGCCAGGCCUCACAAGUCUCAAGGAAAUUCAGUUGGCUAGGCAUGGUGUCCCUGAAAAUGUGACCAAACAGGUGCAGAAGCAGGUGGCGGAAGUGCGUGGGUGCAGUGGCAGACAUGGUCUGCCAUUGCUGGUCACAAUCAACAGGUCAGGGUGA
RNAcentral lists this ribosomal RNA (3861 nucleotides) under Triticum aestivum (bread wheat). RNAcentral's name for it is "partial small subunit ribosomal RNA". The record is from RNAcentral. Lineage: Eukaryota; Viridiplantae; Streptophyta; Magnoliopsida; Poales; Poaceae.